AUAGCGAACAAGUACCGUGAGGGAAAGUUGAAAAGCACUCUGGAGAGAGAGUCAAAAGACCGUGAAACCGCUCAGAGUAUAAGCCCAUGGCAGCUUGGAAGGCAUAUCGCUAGCGGGGCAUCGGUCUCCCUUCACGGGGAGCUGGUGUUACCUUGCUUCUGUUGUGGCUCGUUAUGGUAGGGGGGUCAGGUCCACAUCCCGCCAUCGUGUGGGGAGUUCUUGGGCGUGUUGUGGCUUUGCGGUUGACCUCGGUUGGCCGUAGGGCUCUUCGUGCUUGGUUCUUCUUUAGACACGGACGUUCAGACUCAGUUGCAAGACGCGGUAACCAGCCCACCACGGCACGUUGUGAGGUCACCCUCAGGCUCGACUUUCGAUUGUGGUCCUUGACGCCGAGCAUGCACUGUGCGUGUCGCAGAAGUUCCUAACCGGGCAAACUCGUAUGCCAGGAUCGUGGAACGACACGCGCUCAACAGUCAGGACCGGGCGAUGACAGAGUUCUGGUACGAUCCUCUUGCGACGAGCCGCCUUCUGGCCGAUUUCUGAUGCUCAGGUCUCCCGCAUGUGCCGCGGGAGAUCGCUUUGACGGUCUGGAGCUUUUACAAGUCCUCUCAGUCGGGCAACGGAAAGAGUGGUGUAAAGUCCAAGCCCAUCGGUCACGUCUCGAAACACGGGCCAAGGAGUAUAGCAUGUGUGCAAGUCUAAGGGUCUCCCAAAACCUGAAGGCGAAGUGAAAGCAAGUAAGCGGCGGGUGAUCUA
Molecule: ribosomal RNA, 756 nt
Filed under: Gammarus cf. komareki ASH1
Lineage: Eukaryota; Metazoa; Arthropoda; Malacostraca; Amphipoda; Gammaridae
Description: partial 28S ribosomal RNA
Rfam family: Eukaryotic large subunit ribosomal RNA
Source: RNAcentral